This 1431-nucleotide ribosomal RNA is filed under the name uncultured prokaryote. RNAcentral describes it as "partial 16S ribosomal RNA". It matches the Rfam family "Bacterial small subunit ribosomal RNA". The record is from RNAcentral.
GGCAGGCUUAACACAUGCAAGUCGAGGGGUAACAGGAGUAGCUUGCUACUUGCUGACGACCGGCGCACGGGUGCGUAACGCGUAUACAAUCUACCUUUUGCUGAGGGAUAGCCCAGAGAAAUUUGGAUUAAGACCUCAUGGUAUAUAGGAAUGGCAUCAUUCUUAUCUUAAAGGAUACUCGGUAAAGGAUGAGUAUGCGUCCUAUUAGAUAGUUGGUGAGGUAACGGCUCACCAAGUCAGCGAUAGGUAGGGGGUCUGAGAGGAUGAUCCCCCACACUGGUACUGAGACACGGACCAGACUCCUACGGGAGGCAGCAGUGAGGAAUAUUGGUCAAUGGAGGCAACUCUGAACCAGCCAUGCCGCGUGCAGGAAGACGGCCCUACGGGUUGUAAACUGCUUUUAUACACCAAGAAACGCAGGUACGUGUACCUGUUUGACGGUAGUGUAUGAAUAAGCACCGGCUAACUCCGUGCCAGCAGCCGCGGUAAUACGGAGGGUGCAAGCGUUAUCCGGAAUUAUUGGGUUUAAAGGGUACGCAGGCGGCCUAUUAAGUCAGUGGUGAAAUCCCGUCGCUCAACGACGGAACUGCCAUUGAUACUGGUUGUCUUGAGUUAUACUGAAGUAGAUAGAAUGUGUAGUGUAGCGGUGAAAUGCAUAGAUAUUACACAGAAUACCGAUUGCGAAGGCAGUCUACUAAGUAUAUACUGACGCUAAUGGACGAAAGCGUGGGGAGCGAACAGGAUUAGAUACCCUGGUAGUCCACGCCGUAAACGAUGGAUACUAGCUGUUGGGCGUAAGCUCAGUGGCCAAGCGAAAGUGAUAAGUAUCCCACCUGGGGAGUACGUUCGCAAGAAUGAAACUCAAAGGAAUUGACGGGGGCCCGCACAAGCGGUGGAGCAUGUGGUUUAAUUCGAUGAUACGCGAGGAACCUUACCAGGGCUUAAAUGUAAGUUGCAUAGAUCAGAGAUGGUCUUUUCUUCGGACCACUUACAAGGUGCUGCAUGGUUGUCGUCAGCUCGUGCCGUGAGGUGUCAGGUUAAGUCCUAUAACGAGCGCAACCCCUGUCGCUAGUUGCUAGCAGGUCAUGUCGGGGACUCUAAGGAGACUGCCGGUGCAAACCGUGAGGAAGGUGGGGAUGACGUCAGGUCAGCACGGCCCUUACGUCCAGGGCUACACACGUGCUACAAUGGCAGGUACAGAGGGCAGCUACAUAGUGAUAUGAUGCGAAUCUUCAAAGCCUGUCUCAGUUCGGAUCGAAGUCUGAAACUCGACUUCGUGAAGCUGGAAUCGCUAGUAAUCGGAUAUCAGCCAUGAUCCGGUGAAUACGUUCCCGGGCCUUGUACACACCGCCCGUCAAGCCAUGGAAUCUGGGAGUGCCUGAAGUCGGUAACCGCAAGGAGCCGCCUAGGGUAAAACUGGUAACUGGGGCU